UACACUCCUACGGGAGGCAGCAGUGGGGAAUAUUGCACAAUGGGCGCAAGCCUGAUGCAGCCAUGCCGCGUGUAUGAAGAAGGCCUUCGGGUUGUAAAGUACUUUCAGCGGGGAGGAAGGCAAUACGGUUAAUAACCGUGUUGAUUGACGUUACCCGCAGAAGAAGCACCGGAUAACUCCGUGCCAGCAGCCGCGGUAAUACGGAGGGUGCAAGCGUUAAUCGGAAUUACUGGGCGUAAAGCGCACGCAGGCGGUCUGUCAAGUCGGAUGUGAAAUCCCCGGGCUCAACCUGGGAACUGCAUUCGAAACUGGCAGGCUUGAGUCUUGUAGAGGGGGGUAGAAUUCCAGGUGUAGCGGUGAAAUGCGUAGAGAUCUGGAGGAAUACCGGUGGCGAAGGCGGCCCCCUGGACAAAGACUGACGCUCAGGUGCGAAAGCGUGGGGAGCAAACAGGAUUAGAUACCCCGGUAGUCCC
Molecule: ribosomal RNA, 473 nt
Filed under: uncultured organism
Description: partial 16S ribosomal RNA
Rfam family: Bacterial small subunit ribosomal RNA
Source: RNAcentral